UUGGCAUCGAAUUUGA
This 16-nucleotide small RNA is filed under the name Arabidopsis thaliana (thale cress). RNAcentral describes it as "ATSL104580". The record is from RNAcentral. Lineage: Eukaryota; Viridiplantae; Streptophyta; Magnoliopsida; Brassicales; Brassicaceae.